GUGAAGAUUCAUCCUGAUGGGGCCUUUCCUACAGCCAUGUAUCACUAUUAAUACCUGAUAGAGUAACUAUGGUUUUUGUUUACUCACAGAACUAUUCAUUAGUUCUAUGAGAAAGAACUAAAAGAUACUU
Molecule: small nucleolar RNA, 130 nt
Organism: Sciurus vulgaris (Eurasian red squirrel)
Lineage: Eukaryota; Metazoa; Chordata; Mammalia; Rodentia; Sciuridae
Source: Ensembl